This 406-nucleotide ribosomal RNA is filed under the name uncultured bacterium. Its description in RNAcentral is "partial 16S ribosomal RNA". It matches the Rfam family "Bacterial small subunit ribosomal RNA", at positions 30 to 526 of the family's 1533-position model. The record is from RNAcentral.
AUUGAACGCUGGCGGCAGGCCUAACACAUGCAAGUCGAACGAGUGGCGGACGGGUGAGUAAUGUCUGGGAAACUGCCCGAUGGAGGGGGAUAACUACUGGAAACGGUAGCUAAUACCGCAUACCAUCGGAUGUGCCCAGAUGGGAUUAGCUAGUCGGUGGGGUAACGGCUCACCUAGGCGACGAGCCCUAGAUGGUCUGAGAGGCGGACCAGCCACCCGGUAACUUAGACACGGUCCAGUCUCCUACGUGAGGCAGCAGUGGGGAAUAUUGCACAAUGGGCGCAAUCCUGAUGCAGCCAUGCCGGGUGUAUGAAGAAGGCCUGCGGGUUGUAAAGUACUUUCAGCGAGGAGGCGUUACUCGCAGAAGAAGCACCGGCUAACUCCGUGCCAGCAGCCGCGGUAAUUC